RNAcentral lists this ribosomal RNA (253 nucleotides) under uncultured bacterium. Its description in RNAcentral is "partial 16S ribosomal RNA". It matches the Rfam family "Bacterial small subunit ribosomal RNA", at positions 524 to 776 of the family's 1533-position model. The record is from RNAcentral.
UACGUAGGGUGCAAGCGUUGUUCGGAAUCAUUGGGCGUAAAGCGCGUGUAGGCGGCUAUCUAAGUCUGGUGUGAAAGCCCGGGGCUUAACCCCGGAAGUGCAUUGGAUACUGGAUAGCUAGAGGGUGAGAGAGGAGGGUGGAAUUCCUGGUGUAGGGGUGAAAUCCGUAGAUAUCAGGAGGAACAUCAGUGGCGAAGGCGGCUCUCUGGCUCACAUCUGACGCUGAGACGCGAAAGCGUGGGUAGCAAACAGG